CUUGAUCAGUGUAGAGAAUGCAGCUUACCUUGCAGAUUAUCAGGGUUUAAGUGUAAUUGAUGUAAUUUUUGAUUCCUUAGACAAGUCUGGUUACAAUAACCAGACAAUCCAAAAAGUAAUGAUCCAGUCCACCAACAGCUCUGUUCUGAAGGUAUUUAAGGAGAAAACUAGUUAUGAGCUUGUAUACUAGGUUGAAGAAACUAUCCGUGAUGCCCUUAACUCAUCCAUCGAAGGCAUCAAGGGAUUUGCCCAUUCUGUGUCCCUCACCAAGGAGACCAUCUUUCCAGAAAAUCAGGCUUUAUUCUUCACUAGUGCUACUGAAAUUGUAAAGAAGCUUCAGUUGUAUAACAUUUCAGUCUGUGUAAAUUUGUUUACUAAUGAGUUUGUAUCUUAAGCAUGGGACUUCUUCUCAGACCCAAUGGUGGAGAUAAAUACAUUUGUUAGCUCAACUAAUAUUGAUGGAGUCGUCACUGAAUUCCC
Telopea speciosissima is the source of this 480-nucleotide long non-coding RNA. RefSeq lists it as uncharacterized. The record is from RefSeq and is a predicted model, not a curated record. The transcript has 3 exons. NCBI's taxonomy places the organism in Eukaryota, Viridiplantae, Streptophyta, Magnoliopsida, Proteales, Proteaceae.